AGGCGGGGGUGAGCGCGUACACGGCACCCUAUUUCCAGCGUUCCUAGCGGCGGAGGGCCGCAACUCGUGUUUUGACGUCUGCCAGGCUUUGAUAAAACGCUCACCCCCGCCUGAACUAGCUCACUGCUGCGUUUUAAAUUUCAACAGUGCUUUGAAAUUGUUACUUUUUGUCUUCGUGUUUGGCGAAGAUGACAUCCUGCAUCUGAGAUCUAAAUAGCUACUUUAAAAAAUAGUUUAAUAGGCACACUGACAAAAUGAUUCGUAAGGGCCGUAAACCAACUCCACAAAGUGAAGAGGAAAGGCUUCAGCAAGAGAAGGAAAAAGAAGAAAGUCAGCUAAGAAAGGCGGCUAACCGAAAUGCAGCAAAACGAGCGAAACGAGAACCCAAGUUCAACAUGGGUCCUGUUUAGGGCAUGCAAAGGAGUUAACUGAGAAGUCAGUGACCAACAACCAAGAACGGCAACUCAAACAGCAAGCCCAACAAAGUUCUCAUAAAACCCAACCACAAUACAACACAAAGAGCAGCAGCUCAGCUGAUUAUUAGUGCACAUAAUCCAUCCUUUUUUAUUGUCCCUAAUUAAUCAUCUAAUUGUGUGACAGGUAAUGAAGACUUGGAUUGUUUAGCGGAUCCAGAAGGCAUGGAUCAAGCACGAAUGGACCACUCAUAUGCCAAUGAAAACACAGUGAACUCUUCAGUGUUUGAUCAAGGAUCAAAGGAAAAUGCCAUCCAGCAGUUGCGAGAGAAGCUGAAAGAAUUGAUGAUUGCUUCUGAAUUGGAAGCCAAUCAAGCCAUAGCUGACUCCGUGUCCUCUGAAAUAAAAGAAAAGAAAAAAAGAAAAUCUGAAGAAAAGGAUCUUGAUUGUUUGUGGACUGAUGUUGAGUCCCUUGCUUUCAAAGCUUUUGAGCAUCACCAUGGCAUUAGGGGAUUCAGUUGCAAGAACUGUGGUGA
Molecule: unclassified non-coding RNA, 949 nt
Filed under: Daphnia magna
Lineage: Eukaryota; Metazoa; Arthropoda; Branchiopoda; Diplostraca; Daphniidae
Description: uncharacterized LOC123469716, transcript variant X2
Source: RNAcentral